This 306-nucleotide ribosomal RNA is filed under the name uncultured bacterium. RNAcentral describes it as "bacterial SSU rRNA". It matches the Rfam family "Bacterial small subunit ribosomal RNA", at positions 27 to 334 of the family's 1533-position model. The record is from RNAcentral.
AAAACACGGACGAACGCUGGCGGCGUGCUUAACACAUGCAAGUUGAACGGGCAUACAUGGAAGCUUGCUGAAGUGUAUGUUAGUAGCGGACGGGUGAGUAAUGCAUGAGAAGCUGCCAUUGGGAGGGGGACAACAGUUGGAAACGGCUGCUAAUACCCCGUAUGCCGGAAGGUAAAAGGGAGCGAUCCGCCCGAUGAGGUGCUCAUGUCCUAUCAGCUGGUUGGUGGGGUAACGGCCUACCAAGGCGACGACGGGUAGCCGGCCUGAGAGGGUGAACGGCCACACUGGAACUGAGAUACGGUCCAG